This 564-nucleotide long non-coding RNA is filed under the name Triticum aestivum (bread wheat). Its description in RNAcentral is "long non-coding RNA (TAES_LNC017769)". Lineage: Eukaryota; Viridiplantae; Streptophyta; Magnoliopsida; Poales; Poaceae. The record is from RNAcentral.
GGCACAAGAAGGAGAUCUAAAAGAAGUCUCAGUGUCAUAUGGGUUAGAUGAAGGAAAAAAUGAACAUAUUGAAGUCUUGAAUCAAGGUGAAGAUGAUCCACAUAGACUUACAAUGUCAUAUAAGCCAGAACAAGAAGAUGAUCCCAAUAAAGCUACAAUGACAUAUAGGUCAGAACAAGAAGAAGAUCCACAUAAAGUCACAAUGUCAUAUAGGUCAGAACAAGAAGAUGAUCCCAAUAAAGUUACAAUGUCAUAUAGGUCAGAACAAGAGGAAGAUCCACAUAAAGUCACAAUGUCAUAUGGGUCGGAACAAGAAGAUGAUCCCAAUAAAGUUACAAUGACAUAUAGGUCAGAACAAGAAGAAGAUCCACCUAAAGUUACAAUGUCAUAUGGGUCGAAACAAGAAGAUGAUCCCAAUAAAGCUACGAUGACAUAUAGGUCAGAACAAGAAGAAGAAGAUCCACAUAAAGUUACAAUGUCAUACCGGUCAAACCAUGAAGAGUAUACAAAUAAACUUACAAUGACAUAUGGGUCAAAAGAUGAAGUGGAUCCAGACAAAGCUAC